Molecule: transfer RNA, 73 nt
Filed under: Xenopus tropicalis (tropical clawed frog)
Lineage: Eukaryota; Metazoa; Chordata; Amphibia; Anura; Pipidae
Description: tRNA-Arg (TCT) (tRNA-Arg-TCT-11-1)
Rfam family: tRNA
About the family: Transfer RNA (tRNA) molecules are approximately 80 nucleotides in length.
Source: RNAcentral
GGCUCUGUGGCGCAAUGGAUAGCGCAUUGGACUUCUAAUUCAAAGAUUGUGGGUUCGAAUCCCACCAGAGUCG